UGUUUGUAUAUGUGUGUGCCUGUAUGUCUGUGUCUAUAUGUCAGGUUGGGUAUCAGACGCCACCUCUCUGGGGACAUCUCAGGCCCUCCAAAGUUUGGAGGCCUAUCUCCCCCUACCACCACUUCCCCUGCCAGUGGCAGACUCCCUCAGACAUCGGUGCGUUGGUGGUUCUUUGUGUCUGGGGAUGGGCGUCCAGGUACAUACCGGCUCACUCCUUGGCGGCCGCUUAUCGGGGCCUGGAGCCUGGGGCUCGCUCGGGCCACUUCGGAGGUGGGGUGCCCACGGCCUCUCGGCCUGGGGCUCGGUCACUCAGGCACGGCUGGCUGCCGGCGGAGCUCACGGGCGCGUCACUGCAACUCCCCCUGGCUUCUGCUCCGCGGCUGCUGAGUGAGCCCUCAUCUGGGACUCUCCUCAGCUCUUACUGGGACAGUGGCGCGGCUGCCCCUCUGUUGGUCUUCCUUGGUCUCUUGUGUUCUGGGGGCCUCUGGAUGUCUGGAGUUUUGAUCUCCUCCAUACCUGCUUCAUGCCCUGGAGGACGGGGCUGUGCCCCCCCACGCCCUCUAGCAGAUUAUUACAUGAAGGAACCUUUAAAAAAAAAACAAAAAAAAAAACAAGCGCGUCCAUGCUCACAGGUGUACACACGGGUGAUCACACCCACAAACUACACCCUUUUUGGUUCCUACCUCAAAGCACACUGUGUUCUGUUGAUCUUAUGUGCUGCACAAUAAUGUUUAAUAUUUAGUAUUUACUGUCAUAUUCCCAUAUAUCAUUGUGAUGUUGUUUAUUCUAUUACUCUUGUUCUCUUCUGCUUGCUUUCUUUUUUCUUUCUCAGCAGGUGAUCCAGGUGAUUGAUAUAUGCAUUUUUUUUUCUCUGCCCGUUCUGUUGGUUUUUGUUUUUUGCCCUUCUCCCCCGUCCCUCUUCUCAGCUGUUUCUCUUUCCCUCUUUCUUUCUCCCCUUCUUUCCCCCAGUCAAGUCUGUCCCGUAUUCAGUAAGUGAAAAUAAAAUAAACAAUAAAAGGUGAAUCAAAUGGACCAUUACGGCAAGGCUGGGAUGGUCAGUUUGGUAAAGUAAAUCCGUUGGGCAUCUUUCUUUGCCUUUAGACAACAAUUCUGAUGGCAAAAGAGCCAAACGGGACAGGCGCAAAAA
This is a long non-coding RNA of Astatotilapia calliptera (eastern happy), 1147 nucleotides long. The record is from Ensembl. Lineage: Eukaryota; Metazoa; Chordata; Actinopteri; Cichliformes; Cichlidae.